RNAcentral lists this small nuclear RNA (24 nucleotides) under Arabidopsis thaliana (thale cress). RNAcentral describes it as "snRNA_18494". Lineage: Eukaryota; Viridiplantae; Streptophyta; Magnoliopsida; Brassicales; Brassicaceae. The record is from RNAcentral.
GUUUUUCUCGUUGUUUCUCUGUCA